This 420-nucleotide ribosomal RNA is filed under the name uncultured Nitrososphaerota archaeon. RNAcentral describes it as "bacterial SSU rRNA". It matches the Rfam family "Archaeal small subunit ribosomal RNA", at positions 459 to 879 of the family's 1478-position model. The record is from RNAcentral. Lineage: Archaea; Thermoproteati; Nitrososphaerota.
CAGCCGCCGCGGUAAAACCAGCACCUCAAGUGGUCAGGAUGAUUAUUGGGCCUAAAGCAUCCGUAGCCGGCUCUGUAAGUUUUCGGUUAAAUCUGUACGCUUAACGUACAGGCUGCCGGGAAUACUGCAAAGCUAGGGAGUGGGAGAAGUAGACGGUACUCGGUAGGAAGUGGUAAAAUGCUUUGAUCUAUCGAUGACCACCUGUGGCGAAGGCGGUCUACUAGAACACGUCCGACGGUGAGGGAUGAAAGCUGGGGGAGCAAACCGGAUUAGAUACCCGGGUAGUCCCAGCUGUAAACUAUGCAAACUCAGUGAUGCAUUGGCUUGUGGCCAAUGCAGUGCUGCAGGGAAGCCGUUAAGUUUGCCACCUGGGAAGUACGUACGCAAGUAUGAAACUUAAAGGAAUUGGCGGGGGAGCAC